AUACGGAGGGUGCUAGCGUUGUUCGGAAUUACUGGGCGUAAAGCGCGUGUAGGCGGAUCCAGAAGUCGGGUGUGAAAGCCCUGGGCUUAACCCAGGAAGUGCGCCCGAAACCAUGGGUCUUGAGGUCCGGAGGGGAUCGGGGAAUUCCCAGUGUAGAGGUGAAAUUCGUAGAUAUUGGGAGGAACACCGGUGGCGAAGGCGCCGAUCUGGACGGAUUCUGACGCUGAGACGCGAAAGCGUGGGUAGC
This 247-nucleotide ribosomal RNA is filed under the name uncultured bacterium. RNAcentral describes it as "partial 16S ribosomal RNA". It matches the Rfam family "Bacterial small subunit ribosomal RNA", at positions 523 to 769 of the family's 1533-position model. The record is from RNAcentral.